GUGCUCGCUUCAGCGGUACAUAUACUAAAAUUGGAACAAUACAGAGAAGAUCGGCAUGACCCCUGUGCAAGGAUGACACACAAAUUCGUGAAGCAUUCCAUAUUUUU
Molecule: small nuclear RNA, 107 nt
Filed under: Carlito syrichta (Philippine tarsier)
Lineage: Eukaryota; Metazoa; Chordata; Mammalia; Primates; Tarsiidae
Source: RNAcentral